Phyllostomus discolor (pale spear-nosed bat) is the source of this 2874-nucleotide long non-coding RNA. RefSeq lists it as uncharacterized. NCBI's taxonomy places the organism in Eukaryota, Metazoa, Chordata, Mammalia, Chiroptera, Phyllostomidae. The record is from RefSeq and is a predicted model, not a curated record. The transcript has 2 exons.
UAGAACUCUGGUAGAACCAAAUGCAUCAACUGCCUAAACCAAAAUUUUCAGUGUAAGUUUACAAGAAUUGACAAAUGAGAUUGCCAAAUUUAGUCUUGUUCUCCUACUACCAUCUAUCUGCCCCAUUCCCCCAGCCAAAGAAAAGAUAUGAGAAAAGAAAAAGGUUGGGGACCACUUAUUCACCCUAAUGCUAUUCUAUUUCUAUUAUAUAGAAACAAUUUUGAAAGCUAAUGGUCUGAUAAAUAGGCUUAACUGUGUUUUUAAAAUCUGUACACAAUAUCCAACAUACAUAUUGACGCUUACAAAUAAAAUAAAUUUUUUAAAAUGAAUCAAAAUGUGUUUGCUAAAUAGUUUGAAGUCACAUACUUUAGCAAUUCAACAAGUACUGGGUGUGUGUGUGUUGGCACGUGUGUGUCUUUUGUCCAGGAAACCAGGCUGCUAGGUGGUGUUUCCAAACUACAGUAGUCCUCACUUAUCCACAGGGGACACGUUCUAAAUCUCCCAGCAGAUGCCUGAAACUGUAGUUAGUACCAAACCCUACAUAUACAAUAUUUUCCUAUACAAGCAUACUUAUAAUACAAUUUAAUUUAUAAAUUAGGCACACUGAAAUUAACAACUAAUAAUAAAAUAGAACAAUUAUAACAAUACACUGUAAUAAAAGUUACAUGCGAUCUGUCUCUUUUCAUGUCUUCCACCCACAAAUUUUAAGAUGGAAAAUGCCUUUCCCAUCUUAACUAAGCACUUAUCAUGCACCUUGGCUGUAAAUUUACAGUAUGAGGUGUCCCAGCAAAACUAGCACAAAUUUAUUUUUUCUUCUGUACAACUUCAUAGAAGCUUCAUUCUUACUGUACAUCUUAGCAACCUCAGCAUAUGACUUCUUUUCUUUUCUUAAGCCAAGACCUUUACCUUUUCACUCAAUGGAAGCACUUUAGAACUUCUCCUUGGCAUAUCUGAAUUGACAUCAUCCCCACUCUUACACUUUGAGGUCAUUAUUAAGUAAAAUAAGGGUUACAGGAACACAAACACAGAUACCGGUGAUAGUCAAUCUAAGAACCAAGAUGGCUACUAAAUGACUAACAGGCUGGUAGCACAUUAAAGCGUGGAUAAGCUGGACAAAGGGGUGAUUCAUGUCCCGGGCAGGAUGGAGUGGGUGGGACAGCAUGAAAUUUCAUCAUGCUACUCAGAAUGGUGAAUGACUUAAAACCUAUAAAUUGCUUAUUUCUGGAAUUUUCUCUUUAAUAUUUUCAAACUGAAGUUGACCAUGAGUAACUGAAAGCACAAAAAGUCAAACCAAAGACAAGAGGGGAAAGGGCAAGCAGAGCUAAAAUCCAGCAAAAGUUCUCCAUUCCAAGCUCUGCAAUUAUGAAUCUAAACCUGCUCAGAGGAAGAAGCACCUUCUAUCACAUACAAACGGGCUAGUGAUGGCUCUGCUGGCCACUACAAUGGGCAAUGGGGAAAAAAAUGAGAUAAAAGAUCAUCAGAUUAUACUUGUUACUCAAAAAAGUAUCAUCACUAUCAGAUCAGAAUUGAGUACAACUGUUUCUGCUAUAACACAAUAUAUGCAUUCCCAAAUAAUAAUGUGCUCUAUAAAAUAAAAACAGCUGAACUUACAGAGAAAACACAAUUAGAGCCAGACUACUCAAAAUCUGUGGAAUUUUCAAAUCUGAGUCCUAACAAAACAACAACAAUCCUUAGAAAAAUAUUAGUAUAGUUUACGUUUCCAGUGGCAUGUGUAUCAAUAAGCCAGUUCAUCCUUUCAAGUUUCAUAUCCUGAAGCUCAUGCUUCUCCCUUUGAAGUGAUUCCUUGAAGAUACUCACUUCUAAUAGAGAACAGGUCAUGAAAAAUUAAAAAGAUCAUCUAGAGGUAGCUUUCUCCAUCAAUUUCUUUUUAACAAAAGUGAGCUAUCCUUAUAGCUUCUUCAACAAAACUUAUAAUUUCCUCAGAUCUUGUAACAUAGUGGAAUAAAUAUCAAUUUUCAAGCCAAUAAACCAGUACUUUAUUGCAAUAUAGAAAGGUACUUUUCCAGAAUUUUCAGCAUUUUUUCUUAAACUAAGGCUCUCUCUUUAGUUGUGAAGGAGCUUUCCUCUUGAUCAUUCCAAAACAUUAACGUGUUUAAAGUGGUUUGGAAAAAAGUUCCAAACCAAAUUCCACAUUAUUGACAUCAUUCCCUUAUAUGCCAAAUGUUUAAAAAAGGUUUUCAGACAGAAGGAAAAUUAUAUAGGUCACAAAUAGGGGUCUAUAUAAAAAAGAAUGCUAGAGAAUAAGUGAAGGUAAAAUAACAGCUUUUAUUUUGCUUAUCUUUAAUGGAUAAGCAAAAUAAUUAUCUAAUUGAUAAUGGAUCUAAUGGUUUGUUGAAAUAAUAGCAACCAGUAAUCAAUUAUGUAUACGUGUGUAUGCUUAUUUACAAGUGAAAGUGACACAAAGGACAGGAGAGAAGAAUUAGGAUUAUUUUGUUAUUAUAAGGCACUUGCACUACCCAGGAAGGGGUAUGUUAUUUGAAAGAAUACUUGGAUUAGGGGUAUAUGUACAUUGCAAACUCUAGGGUGACCACUAAAAAAAAGUUAAAAAAAAGAAGUAUAAUUGAAAUACUAAAAAAGGAGAGAAAGUAAACCAUAUAAAAUGUUCAACUAUAGCUACAAAAUCCAGAAAAAGUAUGGAAGACAAAAAUGUUCUUAUCAAGACUGCCUAUUUACAUACCAAAGUACAAAUUUAAAGAAUAUUUGAACAUACAGGAACUAGUUUGGGGAAACAUCUCCAACAUCCAAGACAGUUGUUUGAUUUGGAAUAUACCGGCAAGUUUCCUUGAAUAAAACAAAGAAACAUGUCUUUAUGUGUCAAAAAUUUAUCCUGAAAGUAACUGAUUUCAUUUCCCA